AGAUUGAACGCUGGCGGCAGGCCUAACACAUGCAAGUCGAGCGGCAGCACGGGUACUUGUACCUGGUGGCGAGCGGCGGACGGGUGAGUAAUGCCUAGGAAUCUGCCUGAUAGUGGGGGAUAACGCUCGGAAACGGACGCUAAUACCGCAUACGUCCUACGGGAGAAAGCAGGGGACCUUCGGGCCUUGCGCUAUCAGAUGAGCCUAGGUCGGAUUAGCUAGUUGGUGGGGUAAUGGCUCACCAAGGCGACGAUCCGUAACUGGUCUGAGAGGAUGAUCAGUCACACUGGAACUGAGACACGGUCCAGACUCCUACGGGAGGCAGCAGUGGGAAUAUUGGACAAUGGGCAAAGCCUGAUCCAGCCAUGCCGCGUGUGUGAAGAAGGUCUUCGGAUUGUAAAGCACUUUAAGUUGGAGAAGGCAGUUACCUAAUACGUAUCUGUUUUGACGUUACCGACAGAAUAAGCACCGCUAACUCUGUG
This 482-nucleotide ribosomal RNA is filed under the name uncultured soil bacterium. Its description in RNAcentral is "bacterial SSU rRNA". It matches the Rfam family "Bacterial small subunit ribosomal RNA", at positions 26 to 507 of the family's 1533-position model. The record is from RNAcentral.